This 1005-nucleotide long non-coding RNA is filed under the name Brassica rapa (field mustard). RNAcentral's name for it is "long non-coding RNA (BRAP_LNC004955)". The record is from RNAcentral. Lineage: Eukaryota; Viridiplantae; Streptophyta; Magnoliopsida; Brassicales; Brassicaceae.
UGUGACAUAAUAAUAAUUCUUAAUACAGUAUAAUUUAUUUAUUUAUCAUAAAUAUAAAUUAUAAAAUUUACUUAUAAAAUUUACACACUAAAAUUAUAAUUGUAUAUAUUAUUUUGUUAAUGUUUAUACUCGUGUCAUCUAGUAAGUAGUCAAUGGUUUCAUUUUUGUAAACCACAUCAAUGGCAGGUUCGAUCAAAGGGAGAUACCACGAGAAUUUAGCAUGAUACAUAUAACUAAGCAACAUAUUCACGUUCUGAAGAAAUAUUGGAAGAUGCUUUAAAAGGAACCAGCCUGUUACCACUCUCCUCUUUAUAAUAAUCAUAUUUCCACUUGUUUGUUUAAUCUGCUAAGAUAAUUCAUUGAUUAUAAAUCUCUUUAGCAAGUGUCGUUAACUCCACCGGAAAAACAUCUUAAAACUAAAGUAUAUCUGGAAUUUCUUGAUAUUUAACAAAAAAAAAUGGGCAAUUGUCAAUAAUAGCACCUUUUGAAGUUUAUGUCACAAAAAGAGCACUAGAAGGAGAAAGUCACAAAAAUGACAUUCAUUAAAGGGUAAAAUGUCCCUAAUAUCCUUGGUUUAAAUUAAAUAAACAAACAAAAAUAAAUAAAAAAAUAAAAAAAAAAAAAAAAAUAAAAAAUAAAAAAAAUAAAAAAAAUAAAAAUUUUUUUUAUAGUUUCAGAUUAUAUGUUUUCAGAUUCGAAAUUUUUAUAAUUUUUUUUUAAAAAAAAAUUUUGAAUUUUUUUUUAUUUUUUUUCAAAUUUUCUUUUUAUAGUUUAAAAAUAAUUUUUGAAACUGUUUUAUAAAUUUUUAUUUUUUAUUUUAGUAUUUAUUUUUUAUAAAAUUUUAAACCCUAAUUCCAAAACCCCACCCCCUUAACUCUAAACCCUAAGGUUUGGAUUAAUUAACCCAAGGGGUAUAAGUGUAUAUUUACCUCUUUAAUGAAACCUAUUUUUGUGACUUUGAGCCUUGAGUGCUACUUUGGGAACAAAAACUUGGUUUGGUGCUAU